RNAcentral lists this ribosomal RNA (320 nucleotides) under uncultured eukaryote. RNAcentral describes it as "partial 18S ribosomal RNA". It matches the Rfam family "Eukaryotic small subunit ribosomal RNA", at positions 1470 to 1796 of the family's 1831-position model. The record is from RNAcentral.
CCCCUAGAUGUUCUGGGCCGCACGCGCGCUACACUGCACAGUUCAACAAGUCUUAACCUUGGCCGAUAGGUCUGGGUAAUCUUUGAACGCUGUUCGUGAUUGGGAUAGACCUUUGCAAUUAUGGGUCUUCAACGAGGAAUUCCUAGUAAACGCAAGUCAUCAGCUUGCAUUGAUUACGUCCCUGCCCUUUGUACACACCGCCCGUCGCACCUACCGAUUGAAUGGUCCGGUGAAAUCUCGGGACGGCGGCUUGGUCGCUUGCGUCCGACUGCUGAAACUUGAUUAAACCAUAUCAUUUAGAGGAAGGUGAAGUCGUAACA